GCUGGGUGUGGUAAUGCACGCCUGUAGUCCCAGCUACUUGGGAGGCUGAGGUAGGAGGAUUGCUUGAGCCCAGGAGGUCAAGGCUGCAGUGAGCUAUGAUUGUGCCAUUACACUCUGGCCUGGGUGACAGAGCAAAAACCCUGUCUCUA
Molecule: unclassified non-coding RNA, 149 nt
Organism: Pongo abelii (Sumatran orangutan)
Lineage: Eukaryota; Metazoa; Chordata; Mammalia; Primates; Hominidae
Rfam family: Metazoan signal recognition particle RNA
About the family: The signal recognition particle (SRP) is a universally conserved ribonucleoprotein. It is involved in the co-translational targeting of proteins to membranes. The eukaryotic SRP consists of a 300-nucleotide 7S RNA and six proteins: SRPs 72, 68, 54, 19, 14, and 9.
Source: Ensembl